GAUGAACGCUGGCGGCGUGCCUAAUACAUGCAAGUCGAGCGAACAGACGAGGAGCUUGCUCCUCUGACGUUAGCGGCGGACGGGUGAGUAACACGUGGAUAACCUACCUAUAAGACUGGGAUAACUUCGGGAAACCGGAGCUAAUACCGGAUAAUAUAUUGAACCGCAUGGUUCAAUGGUGAAUGACGGUUUUGCUGUCACUUAUAGAUGGAUCCGCGCCGCAUUAGCUAGUUGGUAAGGUAACGGCUUACCAAGGCAAGGAUGCGUAGCCGACCUGAGAGGGUGAUCGGCCACACGGGAACUGAGCCACGGUCCAGACUCCUACGGGAGGCAGCAGUAGGGAAUCUUCCGCAAUGGGCGAAAGCUUGACGGAGCAACGCCGCGUGAGUGAUGAAGGUCUUCGGAGCGUAAAGCUCUGUUAUUAGGGAAGAACAAAUGUGUAAGUAACUAUGGACGUCUUGACGGUACCGAAUCAGAAAGCCACGGCUAACUACGUG
Molecule: ribosomal RNA, 497 nt
Filed under: uncultured bacterium
Lineage: Bacteria
Description: partial 16S ribosomal RNA
Rfam family: Bacterial small subunit ribosomal RNA
Source: RNAcentral